UAGAGUUUGAUCAUGGCUCAGAUUGAACCUUUGCGGUAGGCCUAACACAUGCAAGUCGAACGCGAAAGUCCUUUUGGAUGAGUAGAGUGGCGGACGGGUGAGUAACGCGUAGGAAUCUAUCCUGUAGUGGGGGAUAACGUUUCGAAAGGAACGCUAAUACCGCAUACGCCCUACGGGGGAAAGCGGGGGAUCUUCGGACCUCGUGCUAGAGGAGGAGCCUGCGUCGGAUUAGCUAGUUGGUGAGGUAAAGGCUCACCAAGGCGACGAUCCGUAGCUGGUCUGAGAGGAUGAUCAGCCACACCGGAACUGAGACACGGUCCGGACUCCUACGGGAGGCAGCAGUGGGGAAUAUUGCGCAAUGGGCGAAAGCCUGACGCAGCCAUACCGCGUGUGUGAAGAAGGCCUUCGGGUUGUAAAGCACUUUCAGUGGGGAGGAAAAGCGGGUGGCUAAUAUCCAUCGGCCGUGACGC
RNAcentral lists this ribosomal RNA (470 nucleotides) under uncultured bacterium. RNAcentral's name for it is "bacterial SSU rRNA". It matches the Rfam family "Bacterial small subunit ribosomal RNA", at positions 1 to 480 of the family's 1533-position model. The record is from RNAcentral.